AUUUCCUUAAAUGCCUUAAAGCUAGUAGUUGCAAACUUGGGAUAUGAACUUGCUUCUGUCUGUCUUGAAAGUCUGUUCUCAUAACCAUUUUACCAUGUUGUCGUGUUUUCGAGUAGGGCAAAAUGGUUAAAGGAAAAAGAAAAGGAUAAAUAUCUUUGGAGUCAUCCUACGCACUGGUAUUAUAAAGAUGAAUGAGACAUGAUCCUUAUUGUCUAGCAAGAGAGACAAACACCCAUUUUCUAAGCACAAUAAUAGAGAUAAGGAGAAUUCAGAGAUGUCAUGUGACUUCUGGGUUUCUUUUUUUUUUUCCUGAGACAGAGUCUUGCACUGUCACCCAGGCUGGAGUGCAAUGGCACAAUCUCGGCUCACUGCAGCCUCCGCCAGGUUCAAGCUAUUCUUCUGCCCCAGCCUCCCUACUACCUGGGAUUACAGGUGCCUGCCACCAUGUCUGGCUAAUUUUUUGUAUUUUUAGUAGAGACGGGUUUUCACUAUGUUGGCCAGGCUGGUCUCGAACUCAUGACCUUCUGAUCCACCUGCCUCUGUCUUCCAAAGUGCUGGGAUUACAGGCUUGAGCCACCACACCCGGUCAAAUUCUGAGUUUCUUGAAAAAUAAACAGUGUUUUCAGGGAGAGGAGAAAGUGUGGAUAAGCCAUGGAAAGGGUCUGAUAUUUAUUUGAAGUACAUUAUCUGAUGGGCAGAGGUAGGAGAUGAAACAGUUUGGGGCCAGAUUAGGCCAAAUUAAGAAGGACCUGGAUUGGUAUGAGAAAAUUUUUUUCUAAUAUCCAGUAUUAGUUAUUGUAAAUGCAAUAAUUAAAACCUGGCUAUGGCCAGGCACUGUGGCUCACGCCUGUAAACCAGGCACUUUGAAAGGCUGAGGUGGGAGGAUUGCCUGAGCCCAGGAGUUUGAGACCAGCCAGGGCAGCAAAGUGAGAUCCUGUCUCUACAAAAAAAAAAAAAAAAAUUAGCUGGGUGUGGUGGCUUAUGCCUGUAGUCCUGGUACUUGGGAGGCUGAGGUGAGAAGAUCCUUUGAGCCUAGGAGUUCGAGCCUACAGUGAGCUGUGAUCAUAGCACUGCAUUCUAGCCUAGGUGACAGAGAGAGACCCUGUCUCAAAAAAAAAAAAAAAAAAAAAAAAAACCCAACACUUGGCUACAACCUUAGUUAAGCUAUUUUCAUAUUGCAUUUUGGGCUUUAUAAGAAUAAAGUGUCCAUCAAGAAAUUUCUGAACAAGCAUCAUUUAUUAUGUCAUAAACAGGAGCCCUAAGCAGUGUCAGAUGACAGUACUUAAGGAUGGAUAGACAAUAGAGAGAUUGCAGUAAUUUGUUUUAAGGAACACAAAGAUGGUGUUGUGUUGAGCAGUUUUAAAUGUUUCGGGCAUUGUUCUCAUUUUACUGCUUAAAUAAGCAGUAUUUUAAAUUUGUAUAUUAAAAAGCAGUAUUUUAAAUUUGUAUAUUAAAAAGCAGUAUUUUAAAUUUGUAUAUGCAGCAGUUUUUUAUAGCUAUGUAUAAGUGCCUUUAAACUCAAUAACCUUUUUUUCCCCCUAUUCAAUAGUGAAUUGAAUGCAGGAAUUAUAAAAACAGAUCAAAACUAUGAGAAGAUGAUGUUUAAAGAAGCUUUGAAAACAGGGUUUUUUGAGUUUCAGGUAGGCUGUUGAUUCUUCUGGUAGCUAUAAAACAUGUCAAUGUGAACAUUAUGUAUUUUCCCCCUUUUUUCUUCCUGCUAUAGCACAAUUACUCGCCCAAAGUGUAGACUGAAAAUCCUGCCAGAAAAAUUUUAAAUUCUUCAAUAAAUUGUGAUUUUGAGUUAUUAUCUUUGGUAUUUUUUCUAUUGUGUCCAUUUAAUUUAAUAAUUCUGCUCCUAGUUAAGCUAUGAGCAUUAAUAUAAAGGAGAUUAAAUCUAAAAUUCAGCUAUACUUUCCAGGAAAACAUUUCAAAAUUGAUAAAAACGAAGGCAAAAUUGUAAUUAAUUGCCAUUAGUUUGAGAGCAAGUGUUUUCUGAGGUUUUCCACAAGGUGUCAGUAUUUCCUCAAGUUUGGCAUUUAAAGUGCUUAAAGUAAAAAUGUAGCUUUACGCAAUGAGCUAUGUAAAAUAUCACAUUGAGAUUUAUAUAACUUGGUUUUCAGAGAUGUGGUUAAAUAAGGAUAAAUGGCUGAGCAUAGCAAUGUGUUGUAUUUAUAGUCUUUUUUUAUAUUUAAUAUCCUAUAUGCUGCUAAGAGCAGUCACCCUUAAUAUACAGUUAAAGUUGUUCAACUUUUAUGUCUCAGUUACAAACUGUCUGUAAAAAAAUUCUUUUUUUGAGAAUUAUUAGUAUAAAACUGCCAUGUACUUUGGACAAAGAUAAAUACUUGCAGAUUCUUAAAGUAAAACAUUUACAGUAAUUUGUUGUGGAUUUUUAAAAGACUAGAAACUUAAAAAUGUAUUAAAACCAAGAUACUGAAAUUUUUCCCUUUAUUUUUAUUUUAAAGAAGGUGAGGGAAAUGGUAAAUAAUUUCAAAUUUUGUAGGCCGCAAAAGAUAAGUACCGUGAAUUGGCAGUGGAAGGGAUGCACAGAGAACUUGUGUUCCGGUUUAUUGAAGUUCAGACACUUCUCCUCGCUCCAUUCUGUCCACAUUUGUGUGAGCACAUCUGGACACUCCUGGGAAAGCCUGACUCAAUUAUGAAUGCUUCAUGGCCUGUGGCAGGUCCUGUGGAUGAAGUUUUAAUACACUCCUCACAGUAUCUCAUGGAAGUAACACAUGACCUUAGACUACGACUCAAGAACUAUAUGAUGCCAGCUAAAGGGAAGAAGACUGACAAACAACCCCUGCAGAAGCCCUCACAUUGCACCAUCUAUGUGGCAAAGAACUAUCCACCUUGGCAACAUACCACCCUGUCUGUUCUACGUAAACACUUUGAGGCCAAUAACAGAAAACUGCCUGACAACAAAGUCAUUGCUAGUGAACUAGGCAGUAUGCCAGAACUGAAGAAAUAUAUGAAGAAAGUCAUGCCAUUUGUUGCCAUGAUUAAGGAAAAUCUGGAGAAGAUGGGGCCUCGUAUUCUGGAUUUGCAAUUAGAAUUUGAUGAAAAGGCUGUGCUUAUGGAGAAUAUAGUCUACCUGACUAAUUCCCUUGAGCUAGAACACAUAGAAGUCAAGUUUGCCUCCGAAGCAGAAGAUAAAAUCAGGGAAGACUGCUGUCCUGGGAAACCACUUAAUGUUUUUAGAAUAGAACCUGGUGUGUCCAUUUCUCUAGUGAAUCCCCAGCCAUCCAAUGGCCACUUCUCAACCAAAAUUGAAAUCAGGCAAGGAGAUAACUGUGAUUCCAUAAUCAGGCGUUUAAUGAAAAUGAACCGAGGAAUUAAAGACCUUUCCAAAGUGAAACUGAUGAGAUUUGAUGAUCCACUGUUGGGGCCUCGACGAGUUCCUGUCCUGGGAAAAGAGCAUACCGAGAAGACCCCCAUUUCUGAGCAUGCUGUUUUCAAUGUGGACCUCAUGAGCAAGAAAAUUCAUCUGACUGAGAACGGGAUAAGGGUGGAUAUUGGCGAUACAAUAAUCUAUCUGGUUCAUUAAACUCAUGCACAUUGGAGAUUUAUCCUGGUUUCUUAGGAAUACUACUACUCUGAUUGUGUCUACUGAUUGGCUAUCAGAACCUUAGGCUGGACCUAAAUAGAUUGAUUUCAUUUCUAACUAUCCAAUUCUGCAUGUAAUCAUAAUUCUAUCAAGUCAUCUUUGAUUCCUGGACCUAAUAAAUUCUUUUUCCCCUUC
RNAcentral lists this small RNA (3739 nucleotides) under Pongo abelii (Sumatran orangutan). Its description in RNAcentral is "retained intron". Lineage: Eukaryota; Metazoa; Chordata; Mammalia; Primates; Hominidae. The record is from RNAcentral.